This 457-nucleotide ribosomal RNA is filed under the name uncultured Syntrophaceae bacterium. RNAcentral describes it as "bacterial SSU rRNA". It matches the Rfam family "Bacterial small subunit ribosomal RNA", at positions 925 to 1382 of the family's 1533-position model. The record is from RNAcentral. Lineage: Bacteria; Pseudomonadati; Thermodesulfobacteriota; Syntrophia; Syntrophales; Syntrophaceae.
ACAAGCGGUGGAGCAUGUGGUUUAAUUCGAUGCAACGCGAAGAACCUUACCUGGGCUUGACAUCCCGAGAAUCCCCUGGAAACAGGGGAGUGCCUUCGGGGAGCUCGGAGACAGGUGCUGCAUGGCUGUCGUCAGCUCGUGUCGUGAGAUGUUGGGUUAAGUCCCGCAACGAGCGCAACCCUUGUCUUUAAUUGCCAUCAUUGAGUUGGGCACUUUAAAGAGACUGCCGGUGUUAAACCGGAGGAAGGUGGGGAUGACGUCAAGUCCUCAUGGCCUUUAUGCCCAGGGCUACACACGUGCUACAAUGGUCGGUACAGAGGGCAGCCAAGCCGUGAGGUGGAGCUAAUCCCACAAAGCCGAUCGUAGUCCGGAUCGGAGUCUGCAACUCGACUCCGUGAAGUCGGAAUCGCUAGUAAUCGCGGAUCAGAAUGCCGCGGUGAAUACGUUCCCGGGCCUU